AGCAAAACAGCUAUGGGUCAAGUCCGAUAUCUUUAGGAGAAGUCUUAUUGUGAGGGCGAGUUAUAUAACACCAUAGGACUGGCCGUCCCAUAUGAAAAGAUUAUAUUAGAAUUGAAUGAAGCUUUGUUUAUAUAUUGAUAAUGACAGUAUAUAUAUCGUGUCUUGACUAAUUGCGUGCCAGCAGUCGCGGUAAUACGUAAGAGACUAGUGUUAUUCAUCUUAAUUAGGUUUAAAGGGUACCCAGACGGUCAAUAUAGCUUAUAAAAUGUUAGUACUUGACUAGAGUUUUAUGUAAGAGGGCAGUACUUGAGGAGGAGAGAUGAAAUUUCGUGAUACCAAAGGGACUCUGUAAAGGCGAAGGCAGCCCUCUAUGUAAAAACUGACGUUGAAGGACGAAGGCACAGAGAACAAACAGGAUUAGAUACCCAAGUAGUCUUUGCAGUAAAUGAUGAAUGCCAUAGGUCAGAUAACCAGUUAAUGUUUAUAGUCUAAUAGGGUUAGCCUAGCAAACUAAUGACAUAGACUAUCCAUUAAAAAUAUUUGGUCUAUAAAUGAAAGUGUAAGCAUUUCACCUCAAGAGUA
RNAcentral lists this ribosomal RNA (582 nucleotides) under Fusarium commune. Its description in RNAcentral is "SSU rRNA". It matches the Rfam family "Bacterial small subunit ribosomal RNA", at positions 329 to 882 of the family's 1533-position model. The record is from RNAcentral. Lineage: Eukaryota; Fungi; Ascomycota; Sordariomycetes; Hypocreales; Nectriaceae.